AUGACAAACGUGGAUGUGGAAUUGGAUAGUCAAGUGCUUGUCAACGCCCUGAAAAGCAAUGAAGCUGACCUGGCUCCGGAAGGAAUCCUGUUUCGGGAGAUACGGGCCUUUGCCCGGCUGAACUUCAGCAAAGUGAGCUUCUCUUUCGCCCCAAGGAUUUGUAAUAAUCUUGCUCAUGCAUUAGCAGCCUUUGGUGCUAGUCGCCAUGUAAUUCACGAGCUUUGGUCGAAGGACCUGCCGAAUGAUGUAAACGUCCGAUUGGCCAGCAGUUUGGCUGGACCAGGUUAA
This 288-nucleotide ribosomal RNA is filed under the name Triticum aestivum (bread wheat). RNAcentral describes it as "partial small subunit ribosomal RNA". The record is from RNAcentral. Lineage: Eukaryota; Viridiplantae; Streptophyta; Magnoliopsida; Poales; Poaceae.